RNAcentral lists this ribosomal RNA (832 nucleotides) under uncultured bacterium. RNAcentral's name for it is "bacterial SSU rRNA". It matches the Rfam family "Bacterial small subunit ribosomal RNA", at positions 51 to 878 of the family's 1533-position model. The record is from RNAcentral.
ACACAUGCAAGUCGAGGGGCAGCAUGUUGGUUGCUUGCAACCAACGAUGGCGACCGGCGCACGGGUGAGUAACGCGUAUCCAACCUACCCUUGUCCAUCGGAUAACCCGUCGAAAGGCGGCCUAACACGAUAUGCGGUUCACAGCAGGCAUCUAACGUGAACGAAAUGUGAAGGAGAAGGAUGGGGAUGCGUCUGAUUAGCUUGUUGGCGGGGUAACGGCCCACCAAGGCUACGAUCAGUAGGGGUUCUGAGAGGAAGGUCCCCCACAUUGGAACUGAGACACGGUCCAAACUCCUACGGGAGGCAGCAGUGAGGAAUAUUGGUCAAUGGACGAGAGUCUGAACCAGCCAAGUAGCGUGCAGGAAGACGGCCCUAUGGGUUGUAAACUGCUUUUAUAGGGGGAUAAAGUGUGCCACGUGUGGCAUAUUGCAGGUACCCUAUGAAUAAGGACCGGCUAAUUCCGUGCCAGCAGCCGCGGUAAUACGGAAGGUCCAGGCGUUAUCCGGAUUUAUUGGGUUUAAAGGGAGCGUAGGCCGUUUGGUAAGCGUGUUGUGAAAUGUCGGGGCUCAACCUGGGCAUUGCAGCGCGAACUGCCAGACUUGAGUGCGCAGGAAGUAGGCGGAAUUCGUCGUGUAGCGGUGAAAUGCUUAGAUAUGACGAAGAACUCCGAUUGCGAAGGCAGCCUGCUGUAGCGCAACUGACGCUGAAGCUCGAAAGCGUGGGUAUCGAACAGGAUUAGAUACCCUGGUAGUCCACGCGGUAAACGAUGGAUGCUCGCUGUUUGCGUCUGACGUAAGCGGCCAAGCGAAAGCGUUAAGCAUCCCACCUGGGG